AUACGUAUGGUGCAAGCGUUAUCCGGAUUUACUGGGUGUAAAGGGAGCGCAGGCGGUACGGCAAGUCUGAUGUGAAAGCCCGGGGCUCAACCUCGGUACUGCAUUGGAAACUGUCGAACUAGAGUGUCGGAGGGGUAAGUGGAAUUCCUAGUGUAGCGGUGAAAUGCGUAGAUAUUAGGAGGAACACCAGUGGCGAAGGCGGCUUACUGGACGAUAACUGACGCUGAGGCUCGAAAGCGUGGGGAGC
This 247-nucleotide ribosomal RNA is filed under the name uncultured bacterium. RNAcentral's name for it is "partial 16S ribosomal RNA". It matches the Rfam family "Bacterial small subunit ribosomal RNA", at positions 523 to 769 of the family's 1533-position model. The record is from RNAcentral.